CCUACGGGUGGGCAGCAGUGAGGAAUAUUGGUCAAUGGUCGGGAGACUGAACCAGCCAAGCCGCGUGAGGGAUGAAGGUACAGAGUAUCGUAAACCUCUUUUGUCAGGGAACAAAGGCGGGGACGUGUCCCCGGUUGAGUGUACCUGAAGAAAAAUCAUCGUCUAACUCCGUUCCCGCAGCCGCGGUAAUACGGGGGAUGCGAGCGUUAUACGGAUUUAUUGGGGUUAACGGGUGCGCAGGCGGUCUGUUAAGUCAGCGGUCAACGCCCGGGGCUCCACCCCGGCCCGCCGUUGAAACUGGCAGUCUCGAGUUGGAGAGAAGUAUGCGGAAUGCGCGGUGUAGCGGUGAAAUGCAUAGAUAGCGCGCAGAACUCCGAUUGCGAAGGCAGCAUGCCGGCUCCACACUGACGCUGAGGCACGAAAGCGUGGGUAUCGAACAGGAUUAGAUACCCCAGUAGUC
Molecule: ribosomal RNA, 460 nt
Filed under: uncultured bacterium
Lineage: Bacteria
Description: partial 16S ribosomal RNA
Rfam family: Bacterial small subunit ribosomal RNA
Source: RNAcentral